Molecule: ribosomal RNA, 253 nt
Filed under: uncultured bacterium
Lineage: Bacteria
Description: partial 16S ribosomal RNA
Rfam family: Bacterial small subunit ribosomal RNA
Source: RNAcentral
UACGUAGGUGGCAAGCGUUGUCCGGAUUUAUUGGGUUUAAGGGGUGCGUAGGCGGUCCUAUAAGUCAGUGCUGAAAUAUCCCGGCUUAACCGGGAGGGUGGCAUUGAUACUGCAGGACUUGAGUAAAGUUGAGGUUGGCGGAAUUGACGGUGUAGCGGUGAAAUGCUUAGAUAUCGUCAAGAACACCUAUUGCGAAGGCAGCUAACUAAGCUUUAACUGACGCUGAGGCACGAAAGUGUGGGGAUCAAACAGG